AUGGAGGAGGAAGCAACAUCCCAGCGCCGCGCGCAGCAGCCAGCAUGCAAGAAUGACAGCACCAAGCAGCUCCCUAGCAGCGCCGGCGCUAAACCGCUCCGCCACAACCCCCUCCUCGUCGUCAACUUCAUCCUCAUGGCCGUCGGUUCGGCGUGCGGCCCGCUCCUCCUCCGCGCCUACUUCCUCCACGGCGGGACCCGCAAGUGGCUCUCCAGCCUGCUCACGACUGCCGGUUGGCCGCUCCUGCUCGCGCCGCUCAGCGUCUCCAUUCUCUCCCGCCGCCGGCACAACAGAUACGGCGACACGGCCACGCGGCUCUUCCUCAUGUCGCCCCGCCUCCUGGUAGCGACCGUCGCCGUCGGCCUCAUGACCGGCCUCGACGACUUCCUCUACGCCUACGGGCUGGCAUACCUCCCGGUGUCCACCUCCUCCAUCCUCGUCUCCACGCAGCUGGCCUUCACGGCCGCCUUCGCGCUGCUGCUCGUGCGCCAGCGGUUCACGGCCUUCUCCGUGAUCGCCGUUGUGCUGAUCAGCGUCGGCGCCGCCAUGCUGGGGAUGAACGCCGGAGGGGGCCGCCCCGCGGGGGUGACCCGGGUGCAGUACUACGCCGGGUUCGGCAUGACGCUGGGCGCCGCAGCGCUGUACGGCCUCGUGCUGCCCGUCGUGGAGCUCAGCCAGGCGAGGCACGCAGCUCGCGCAGGUGCGGCCGUCACGUACACUCUUGUCAUGGAGAUGCAGAUCGUGAUCGGCUUCACCGCCACGGCCUUCAGCGCCGUCGGGAUGCUUGUGAACAACGAUUUCCAAAUAUUAGUACCAAACGAAGUCCAAAUGCCAUGA
RNAcentral lists this ribosomal RNA (837 nucleotides) under Triticum aestivum (bread wheat). RNAcentral's name for it is "partial small subunit ribosomal RNA". The record is from RNAcentral. Lineage: Eukaryota; Viridiplantae; Streptophyta; Magnoliopsida; Poales; Poaceae.